This 373-nucleotide ribosomal RNA is filed under the name uncultured organism. Its description in RNAcentral is "bacterial SSU rRNA". It matches the Rfam family "Bacterial small subunit ribosomal RNA", at positions 527 to 896 of the family's 1533-position model. The record is from RNAcentral.
CGGGGGAGCAAGCGUUGUUCGGAUUUACUGGGCGUAAAGGGCGCGUAGGCGGCCAGCGCAAGUCAGUUGUGAAAUCUCCGGGCUUAACUCGGAACGGUCAACUGAUACUGCGCGGCUAGAGUGCAGAAGGGGCAACUGGAAUUCUCGGUGUAGCGGUGAAAUGCGUAGAUAUCGAGAGGAACACCUGCGGCGAAGGCGGAUUGCUGGGCUGACACUGACGCUGAUGCGCGAAAGCCAGGGGAGCGAACGGGAUUAGAUACCCCGGUAGUCCUGGCCUUAAACGAUGGAUGCUUGGUGUCUGGAGUUUUAUAGUCUCCGGGUGCCGCAGCUAACGCGCUAAGCAUCCCGCCUGGGGAGUACGGUCGCAAGACUG